UCUGGGCAGAAGGGCUUCCUCUGCGGCGAGUGUGGCCGGGCCUUCCGCAUUGCCUCGGAGCUGGCCCCGUACAUUCGCGUGCACAACGGCGGCGAGUGGCCUUAUCAGUGUGGGGACUGCGGCCAGGCCUUUACCCGCUCCAACCACCUCCAACGACACCGAGCCAAGCACUGCAGCUGCAAGAAGGAGCCCAUCCCCUCCUGCGCUGAUGAAUGCAAAUACUGAGAAGGCAUUGGACCUGGACCUCUCUCUAAAGAAAGCACUUCUGAUCGUACCAAAAUUAAAGAAGUUAUUCUGCAAAAAGGUACUGUAUUCUCCUUUUGAGAAUAUCUAUAGUAUAUUUCUUAAAUUGUGACCAAAGUCUGCCAAAUCUGAAGUUCUCUUGGUUUCCUCUUGGUUUGGACUCAGGGAGUGACUGCUAUUGGCCAAAUAGGAAUGAUAAUAAUGGAAUCACAAAAGUGAGCACAAUCCUACCACACAUAGAACUUCAAAUGCAAAAGCAUUAGAUUGAUAGAGAAGUUCUGACCAUCAGCCGUAACCUUGUGACUAUGCAGAGAGUAAAGGCUAGUAUAUUUUUUUCUGGGUAAUCAGUGAAAUGUUUGAAAACUCUAAUUAAUAUUCCUUUUACCCUUGUGUUCUCUUAAGAUGGUAUUUAGUACAGUUUUUCCUAGUUACAAAAUUUGGUUGGGCUAUCGUUUCUUAAGUCGGUUGUUCCCCAAACCAGUUCAUAAAUGGCUAUAUGGACAUCACCUGGAUGGAGUUCCCACUGUGGCCCAUCUAGUUAAGAACCCGAUAUGAUGUCAUGAGGCUGCCGGUUUGAUCUUUGGCCUCGUUCAGUGGGUUAAGGAUCUGGCUUUGCCACAAGCUGCAGCAUAGGUUACAGAGGUGGCUCAGAUCUGGCAUUGCUGUACCCAUGGCAUAGGUGGGCAGCUGCAGCUCCGAUUUCACUCCUAGCCUGGAAACUUCCAUAUGCUACACAUGUGGCCAUUAAAAAAUAAAGUUAAAAAAGAAAUCACCUGGAUGUUUGUUCGCCACAAACUCCUGAAUCUUCACCUUGAAUAUUGAUACAGCUCUGCAGUGCAUCUUGGAAUCUAAUUUUUAAAGCUUCCUUAUGUGUUCUUUCUUUCUUUCUUUUUUUUUUUUUUUGCUUUUUUAGAGCCGCACCUGCGGCAUGUG
Molecule: long non-coding RNA, 1176 nt
Filed under: Sus scrofa (pig)
Lineage: Eukaryota; Metazoa; Chordata; Mammalia; Artiodactyla; Suidae
Description: lncRNA (ENSSSCG00045039126.1)
Source: RNAcentral